Molecule: ribosomal RNA, 464 nt
Filed under: uncultured bacterium
Lineage: Bacteria
Description: bacterial SSU rRNA
Rfam family: Bacterial small subunit ribosomal RNA
Source: RNAcentral
CAAGUCGGACGGGAUUGGGACUUCGGUCCCAUGAGAGUGGCGCACGGGUGCGUAACACGUAUGUAACCUACCUUAGUCAGGGGGAUAGCCUCUCGAAAGAGAGAUUAAGACCGCAUAACAUCAGUUUACAGCAUUGUAUACUGAUCAAAUAUUUAUAGGAUUAAGAUGGGCAUGCGGAACAUUAGCUAGUUGGUAAGGUAAUGGCUUACCAAGGCUACGAUGUUUAGGGGAUCUGAGAGGAUGACCCCCCACACUGGUACUGAGACACGGACCAGACUCCUACGGGAGGCAGCAGUAAGGAAUAUUGGUCAAUGGGCGAAAGCCUGAACCAGCCAUGCCGCGUGCAGGAAGACUGCCUUACGGGUUGUAAACUGCUUUUGUACCAGAAUAAAUCUUUCUUCGUGAAGAAAGCUGAAUGUAUGGUAAGAAUAAGGAUCGGCUAACUCCGUGCCAGCAGCCGCGGU